UGAGUCUUCUGAGUAACCGAUUAAAUCAAUCAAAACUUUCAACAACGGAUCUCUUGGUUCUGGCAUCGAUGAAGAACGCAGCGAAAUGCGAUAAGUAAUGUGAAUUGCAGAAUUCAGUGAAUCAUCGAAUCUUUGAACGCACAUUGCGCCCGCCAGUAUUCUGGCGGGCAUGCCUGUUCGAGCGUCAUUACAUCCCUCAAGCCCCCGGGCUUGGUGUUGGGGAUCGGCGAGCCUCAGCGCCCGCCGUCCCCUAAAUUUAGUGGCGGUCACGCUGUAACUUCCUCUGCGUAGUAGCACACUUAGCACUGGGAAACAGCGCGGCCACGCCGUAAAACCCCCCAACUUUUGAACGUUUGACCUCGAAUCAGGUAGGACUACCCGCUGAACUUAAGCAUAUCAAUAAGCGGAGGAAC
This 413-nucleotide ribosomal RNA is filed under the name Neonectria sp. nc_besc_869c. Its description in RNAcentral is "eukaryotic LSU rRNA". The stretch from base 34 to 187 matches the Rfam family "5.8S ribosomal RNA". Lineage: Eukaryota; Fungi; Ascomycota; Sordariomycetes; Hypocreales; Nectriaceae. The record is from RNAcentral.